AGCGAACGUUAGCGGCGGGCCUAACACAUGCAAGUCGAACGCGAAAGGUCUUCGGACUGAGUAGAGUGGCGCACGGGUGAGUAACACGUAGGUAAUCUACCCUUUGGCGGGGGAUAACGUUCCGAAAGGAGCGCUAAUACCGCAUAAGACCACGGAGUCUCCGGACGCUGUGGGAAAAGGUGGCCUCUUCUUGAAAGCUACCACCGAAGGAUGAGCCUGCGUCCCAUCAGCUAGUUGGUAAGGUAAUGGCUUACCAAGGCGAAGACGGGUAGCUGGUUUGAGAGAAUGAUCAGCCACACUGGCACUGGAACACGGGCCAGACUCCUACGGGAGGCAGCAGUGAGGAAUAUUGGGCAAUGGGCGAAAGCCUGACCCAGCCACGCCGCGUGAGUGAUGAAGGCCCUCGGGUCGUAAAGCUCUGUGGAGAGGGACGAAGAAGAAAGCCGGUGAAGAGCCGGCCCUGACGGUAUCCCCUUAGCAAGCACCGGCUAACUCCGUGCCAGCAGCCGACGG
Molecule: ribosomal RNA, 513 nt
Filed under: uncultured bacterium
Lineage: Bacteria
Description: bacterial SSU rRNA
Rfam family: Bacterial small subunit ribosomal RNA
Source: RNAcentral